Molecule: ribosomal RNA, 725 nt
Filed under: Pseudomonas sp. IACARI 10
Lineage: Bacteria; Pseudomonadati; Pseudomonadota; Gammaproteobacteria; Pseudomonadales; Pseudomonadaceae
Description: bacterial SSU rRNA
Rfam family: Bacterial small subunit ribosomal RNA
Source: RNAcentral
CGUCGGCGCUGGCCCCCCCUCUAGUUUUGCCGUCGAGCGGAUGACGGGAGCUUGCUCCUUGAUUCAGCGGCGGACGGGUGAGUAAUGCCUAGGAAUCUGCCUGGUAGUGGGGGACAACGUUUCGAAAGGAACGCUAAUACCGCAUACGUCCUACGGGAGAAAGCAGGGGACCUUCGGGCCUUGCGCUAUCAGAUGAGCCUAGGUCGGAUUAGCUAGUUGGUGGGGUAAUGGCUCACCAAGGCGACGAUCCGUAACUGGUCUGAGAGGAUGAUCAGUCACACUGGAACUGAGACACGGUCCAGACUCCUACGGGAGGCAGCAGUGGGGAAUAUUGGACAAUGGGCGAAAGCCUGAUCCAGCCAUGCCGCGUGUGUGAAGAAGGUCUUCGGAUUGUAAAGCACUUUAAGUUGGGAGGAAGGGCAGUAAGUUAAUACCUUGCUGUUUUGACGUUACCGACAGAAUAAGCACCGGCUAACUCUGUGCCAGCAGCCGCGGUAAUACAGAGGGUGCAAGCGUUAAUCGGAAUUACUGGGCGUAAAGCGCGCGUAGGUGGUUCGUUAAGUUGGAUGUGAAAGCCCCGGGCUCAACCUGGGAACUGCAUCCAAAACUGGCGAGCUAGAGUACGGUAGAGGGUGGUGGAAUUUCCUGUGUAGCGGUGAAAUGCGUAAUAUAGGAAGGAACACCAGUGGCGAAGCGACCACCUGGACUGAUACUGACACUGAGGU